UGUAUGUAAGCUUGUUAAAGCCUGAUCUUGUCAGAAGCUUGUCUCAGAAGCUAAGCAGGGCUGGGCCUGUUUAGUACUUGGAUGGGAGACGUCUGAGAAUACCAGGUGACAC
RNAcentral lists this ribosomal RNA (112 nucleotides) under Periophthalmus magnuspinnatus. The record is from RNAcentral. Lineage: Eukaryota; Metazoa; Chordata; Actinopteri; Gobiiformes; Gobiidae.